UCGAGGAUCAUUCGCAAUGGGGGGAACCCUGACGAUGCGACGCUGCGUGGAGGAUGAAGGCCCUCGGGUCGUAAACUCCUGUCAUGAGGGGGUAAGAGAACACGGUAAACAGCCGUUGUUAUUUGACGGUACCUCAAGAGGAAGCCACGGCUAACUCUGUGCCAGCAGCCGCGGUAAUACAGAGGUGGCGAGCGUUGUUCGGAUUUACUGGGCGUAAAGGGCGCGUAGGCGGCGGCGUAUGCCGGGUGUGAAAUCCGUGGGCCCAACCCACGAACUGCGCCCGUAACUGCGUUGCUAGAGUACGGGAGGGGGGAUCGGAAUGCAGGGUGUAGCGGUGAAAUGCGUUGAUAUCCUGCAGAACACCGGAGGCGAAGGCGGAUCCCUGGAACGUUACUGACGCUGAGGCGCGAAAGCAGGGGGAGCAAACAGG
Molecule: ribosomal RNA, 430 nt
Filed under: uncultured bacterium
Lineage: Bacteria
Description: bacterial SSU rRNA
Rfam family: Bacterial small subunit ribosomal RNA
Source: RNAcentral